This 468-nucleotide ribosomal RNA is filed under the name uncultured bacterium. RNAcentral describes it as "partial 16S ribosomal RNA". It matches the Rfam family "Bacterial small subunit ribosomal RNA", at positions 28 to 507 of the family's 1533-position model. The record is from RNAcentral.
GACGAACGCUGGCGGCGUGCUUAACACAUGCAAGUCGAACGGAAAGGCCCUGCUUUUGUGGGGUUCUCGAGUGGCGAACGGGUGAGUAACACGUGAGUAACCUGCCCUUGACUUUGGGAUAACUUCAGGAAACUGGGGCUAAUAUCGUAUAGGAGCUCCUGCUGCAUGGUGGGGGUUGGAAAUUUUCGGCGUUUGGGGAUGGACUCGCGGCUUAUCAGCUUGUUGGUGGGGUAGUGGCUUACCAAGGCUUUGACGGGUAGCCGGCCGGAGAGGGUGAACGGCCCCAAUGGGACUGAGAUACGGCCCAGACUCCUACAGGAGGCAGCAGUGGGGAAUAUUGCACAAUGGGAGGAAGCCUGAUGCAGAAACGCCGCGUUCGGGAUGCCGGCCUUCGGGUUGUAAACCGCUUUCGCCUGUGACGAAGCGUGAGUGACGGUAAUGGGUAAAGAAGCACCGGCUAACUACGUG